GAUGAAGAACGCAGCGAAAUGCGAUACUUGGUGUGAAUUGCAGAAUCCCGUGAACCAUCGAGUCUUUGAACGCAAGUUGCGCCCGAAGCCAUUAGGCCGAGGGCACGCCUGCCUGGGCGUCACACGUCGUUGCCCCCCCAUCUACUCCUUCGGGAUUGCGGGGGGCGGAUGAUGGCCUCCCGUGCGCCACGCCGCGCAGUUGGCAUAAAUGCCAAGUCCUCGGCGACGCACGCCACGACAAUCGGUGGUUGCGAAACCUCGGUUGCCCGUCGUGUGCGGUCGUCGCGCAUCGAGGGCUCGAAAAAAUUGCCGGGUUCCGGCUCGGCUUUCAACGCGACCCCAGGUCAGGCGGGGUUACCCGCUGAAUUUAAGCAUAUCAUAAGCGGAGGA
This 390-nucleotide unclassified non-coding RNA is filed under the name soil metagenome. Its description in RNAcentral is "partial contains 5.8S ribosomal RNA, internal transcribed spacer 2, and large subunit ribosomal RNA". The stretch from base 1 to 122 matches the Rfam family "5.8S ribosomal RNA", at positions 35 to 154 of the family's 154-position model. The record is from RNAcentral.